RNAcentral lists this ribosomal RNA (243 nucleotides) under uncultured bacterium. RNAcentral's name for it is "partial small subunit ribosomal RNA". It matches the Rfam family "Bacterial small subunit ribosomal RNA", at positions 26 to 285 of the family's 1533-position model. The record is from RNAcentral.
AGAAUCAACGCUGGCGGCGUGCCUAACACAUGCAAGUCGAACGAGAAAGUGGAGCAAUCCAUGAGUAAAGUGGCGACCGGGUGAGUAACACGUGACUACCUACCCUUGAGUGGGGGAUAACCUCGGGAAACCGAGGCUAAUACCGCAUAAUAUCGAAAGAUCAAAGGAGUAAUCCGCUUUUGGAGGGGGUCGCGGCUGAUUAGCUAGUUGGUAGGUAAUGGCCUACCAAGGCGAAGAUCGGUA